This 1066-nucleotide ribosomal RNA is filed under the name Arthrobacter tumbae. RNAcentral's name for it is "bacterial SSU rRNA". It matches the Rfam family "Bacterial small subunit ribosomal RNA", at positions 380 to 1453 of the family's 1533-position model. Lineage: Bacteria; Bacillati; Actinomycetota; Actinomycetes; Micrococcales; Micrococcaceae. The record is from RNAcentral.
AGCCUGAUGCAGCGACGCCGCGUGAGGGAUGAAGGCCUUCGGGUUGUAAACCUCUUUCAGUAGGGAAGAAGCGAAAGUGACGGUACCUGCAGAAGAAGCGCCGGCUAACUACGUGCCAGCAGCCGCGGUAAUACGUAGGGCGCAAGCGUUAUCCGGAAUUAUUGGGCGUAAAGAGCUCGUAGGCGGUUUGUCGCGUCUGCCGUGAAAGUCCGGGGCUUAACUCCGGAUCUGCGGUGGGUACGGGCAGACUUGAGUGAUGUAGGGGAGACUGGAAUUCCUGGUGUAGCGGUGAAAUGCGCAGAUAUCAGGAGGAACACCGAUGGCGAAGGCAGGUCUCUGGGCAUUAACUGACGCUGAGGAGCGAAAGCAUGGGGAGCGAACAGGAUUAGAUACCCUGGUAGUCCAUGCCGUAAACGUUGGGCACUAGGUGUGGGGGACAUUCCACGUUUUCCGCGCCGUAGCUAACGCAUUAAGUGCCCCGCCUGGGGAGUACGGCCGCAAGGCUAAAACUCAAAGGAAUUGACGGGGGCCCGCACAAGCGGCGGAGCAUGCGGAUUAAUUCGAUGCAACGCGAAGAACCUUACCAAGGCUUGACAUGAACCGGAACGGCGCAGAGAUGUGUCGGCCACUUGUGGCCGGUUUACAGGUGGUGCAUGGUUGUCGUCAGCUCGUGUCGUGAGAUGUUGGGUUAAGUCCCGCAACGAGCGCAACCCUCGUUCCAUGUUGCCAGCGGGUUAUGCCGGGGACUCAUGGGAGACUGCCGGGGUCAACUCGGAGGAAGGUGGGGACGACGUCAAAUCAUCAUGCCCCUUAUGUCUUGGGCUUCACGCAUGCUACAAUGGCCGGUACAAAGGGUUGCGAUGCUGUGAGGUGGAGCUAAUCCCAAAAAGCCGGUCUCAGUUCGGAUUGAGGUCUGCAACUCGACCUCAUGAAGUCGGAGUCGCUAGUAAUCGCAGAUCAGCAACGCUGCGGUGAAUACGUUCCCGGGCCUUGUACACACCGCCCGUCAAGUCACGAAAGUUGGUAACACCCGAAGCCGGUGGCCUAACCCCUUGUGGGAGGGAGC